AUGAAGAACUUUAUAGCUAAAUCAGUAUUUUAUUUUUUUGUUUUUUAUUUAAGCCUAAAUAAUUAUAUUGUUAAUGGAAACUCCGGUAAAACUGAUUUACACGAAGGAAGACCUGGUAGUACGAGACCAAAUGUAAAAGAAUUACUCAACUCGUUUAAAGCUAAGGGAAAAGGACUUAUUACAGCGUAUUAUGGAUCAUGGGCAUCAUGGGAUGCAACAUCAAAAAUGCACCUUAUUAAUUCUAAUGUUAAUGUUAUAUAUGUUGCAUUUGCUAGAUUGGAUAUGAAAUAUCCUGGUUUACAAACGUUGUUAUCUACUCCAUCGAGUUUGUUACAAAACACUGGUUUGGAGUAUACGGAAGUUAGACAAUAUUUUGAUGAUGUUAAAAAAUUAAGAACAGCACGCCCAGACGUCAUUGUUCUUUUAUCCUUAGGAGGAGAAACUUAUAUGCCAAAUACUUUAGAUGGUGCAUUGAGUUCUGUACCAGAUAUUGUUUCCAUGGUUGAUGAUUUAGGAUUUGACGGUGUUGAUUUGGAUUAUGAACCUAAUGCAUCUUUUGACGGUUUAAAUACUCAAGAAACUGUCGAUUUUUACAUUAAGUAUAUAAACCUAAUUAGAGAAAAUAUGUGUGAUGACAAAAUAAUUUCGAUUUCCUUAUCUUCUAAUGGAGCUUUGAAUUGUAUAGGACUGAACCGUGAAUUAUGUUUAGAUCCAAAUAAUCCGUAUAAUAAAGAAUAUUUUGACAAACAAACAGAAAAAACAGAAUUAAAAAGAGUUGCUGAAAUGGUAUCAGCUGGUUCAGGUAUUUAUCUAAUGAAUCAAUUAAAAGAGAAACUUGAUAUGAUAUUUGUUCAAACAUAUAAUUUUAAUAAUACUAAUGACAAUAAAGUUUUUAUUGAUUUGUAUGACUCAUGGUACAAUUAUGGUAAAAAAUAUAAUUAUGUUAUAAUUAUGGGUUUUAAUAAUCAGGUAAAUGUCGAUCUAUAUCCUGCAUUUGAUUUAGAAUAUGUGAAAAAAGUUUCAGCUAGUAUCAAAAAAAAUAAUGAACAAAUGAAAAGAGCUGAUGGUUUGGGAUUGUGGGUAGUAGUCCCUAAUAUUGCUACUUCUGUUGAUCCCAUAAUUAAGAAUUUUGUUACCGCAUUACAUUAA
This 1149-nucleotide long non-coding RNA is filed under the name Piliocolobus tephrosceles (Ugandan red Colobus). RNAcentral describes it as "lncRNA (ENSPTEG00000015754.1)". The record is from RNAcentral. Lineage: Eukaryota; Metazoa; Chordata; Mammalia; Primates; Cercopithecidae.